UGGUCUAGUGGCUAAGACUCUGCACUUCCAAUGCAGGGGACUGGGGUUCGAUUCCUGG
Molecule: transfer RNA, 58 nt
Filed under: Ovis aries (sheep)
Lineage: Eukaryota; Metazoa; Chordata; Mammalia; Artiodactyla; Bovidae
Source: Rfam by way of RNAcentral